UUGCUAGGGAGCUCCGGGUGCGCAGCGCCAGCCGAGAGGAGAGGCGGGCAGCACUCACAGCCGGAGCACAGACAGCCUGGCCUCAGUUGAGAUGCUUUAGCAGAGACUACAGGAAUAACGAAAAAGAACCAGAGGGGCUGUCUGGGAGGUUUGCCUCUUAGGUUCCCAGCAGUCUGGACUUGCUGCCAUUGCUCUGUCUGCUCUCUGUCCCCCGGCAGGAGCCAUCUCUCUUUGUUAGUCCGUCUCUCAGUGCUGGCGCUUUACCCUCAGCUGUGAGUCUUGCUCUAUUCCUGCCAUUCAGCAGCUGCUUUCCCUUCCAGGACCCCACUUCUCUCUCCUGGGAUACGUCUUAUCAGGGAACCCGGGUUCGUUCUCCCCCUGGGAUUCCUCUAGCACCGAGGCACAUUACGCAAACCAGUCACAGAGGCAACAUCUGACUUGAGCUGUCUGGCUGAGAAGGGUCAGACAUUUGCAGUGUAGUUUGCAGGCAUUAGUGCAAGUCUCAAAUGAAGGCUUAAUUUCAAAAGUUCUCCUGCAGCUUCUUGUCAGAGAGAAUUAGCCUACGUGGCUAGAAUCCAGAUGUGCACAGCUAUCAGCUGCUUGAAAGCAUGGAAGUUCAAGAUGAGUGCAAUGCCAGUCAUUCCUCUGCCAUACUGAGAGUCCCUCCUGUCAGGUUACUAACAUGAAACCAACUUCACAGCAGUACUUAUGUUCAGAUUUGUUGCUGUCAAGAAAAAGGCAAGUUUUACCUCAAAUCUUUCAAAAACAGGAACUUUAAAACAACAACCAAACUUCCAGAGAAAUUUUCUUUAAAUGUUAAGUAUUUUACCCAGUUUUCUGUUUGGUGUUUUUUCAGAUGUGCUUCCUUGCUGUUUUUUAAAGCAUAAAGGAUACAAACCUGAAGAUAUUAAACUUCAAGGUAGAAAGGGCAGAUAAUUAGAAGCUUCUGAUCACUUGAGACAUUAAAAUGGACAUUGCUGUGCAAACACGA
Molecule: non-coding RNA, 991 nt
Organism: Cyanistes caeruleus (blue tit)
Lineage: Eukaryota; Metazoa; Chordata; Aves; Passeriformes; Paridae
Source: RefSeq, a predicted model, not a curated record